UUGAACGCUGGCGGCAGGCCUAACACAUGCAAGUCGAACGGUAACAGGAAGCAGCUUGCUUCUUCGCUGACGAGUGGCGGACGGGUGAGUAAUGUCUGGGAAACUGCCUGAUGGAGGGGGAUAACUACUGGAAACGGUAGCUAAUACCGCAUAACGUCGCAAGACCAAAGAGGGGGACCUUCGGGCCUCUUGCCAUCGGAUGUGCCCAGAUGGGAUUAGCUUGUGGUGGGGUAACGGCUCACCAGGCGACGAUCCCUAGCUGGUCUGAGAGGAUGACCAGCCACACUGGAACUGAGACACGGUCCAGACUCCUACGGGAGGCAGCAGUGGGGAAUAUUGCACAAUGGGCGCAAGCCUGAUGCAGCCAUGCCGCGUGUAUGAAGAAGGCCUUCGGGUUGUAAAGUACUUUCAGCGGGGAGGAAGGGAGUAAAGUUAAUACCUUUGCUCAUUGACGUUACCCGCAGAAGAAGCACCGGCUAACUCCGUGCCAGCAGCCGCGGUAAUACGGAGGGUGCAAGCGUUAAUCGGAAUUACUGGGCGUAAAGCGCACGCAGGCGGUUUGUUAAGUCAGAUGUGAAAUCCCCGGGCUCAACCUGGGAACUGCAUCUGAUACUGGCAAGCUUGAGUCUCGUAGAGGGGGGUAGAAUUCCAGGUGUAGCGGUGAAAUGCGUAGAGAUCUGGAGGAAUACCGGUGGCGAAGGCGGCCCCCUGGAACGAAG
RNAcentral lists this ribosomal RNA (719 nucleotides) under Shigella sp. RNAcentral describes it as "bacterial SSU rRNA". It matches the Rfam family "Bacterial small subunit ribosomal RNA", at positions 29 to 739 of the family's 1533-position model. The record is from RNAcentral. Lineage: Bacteria; Pseudomonadati; Pseudomonadota; Gammaproteobacteria; Enterobacterales; Enterobacteriaceae.